GAUGAACGCUGGCGGCGUGCCUAAUACAUGCAAGUCGAGCGAACGGACGAGAAGCUUGCUUUUCUGAUGUUAGCGGCGGACGGGUGAGUAACACGUGGAUAACCUACCUAUAAGACUGGGAUAACUUCGGGAAACCGGAGCUAAUACCGGAUAAUAUUUUGAACCGCAUGGUUCAAAAGUGAAAGACGGUCUUGCUGUCACUUAUAGAUGGAUCCGCGCUGCAUUAGCUAGUUGGUAAGGUAUCGGCUUACCAAGGCAACGAUGCAUAGCCGACCUGAGAGGGUGAUCGGCCACACUGGAACUGAGACACGGUCCAGACUCCUACGGGAGGCAGCAGUAGGGAAUCUUCCGCAAUGGGCGAAAGCCUGACGGAGCAACGCCGCGUGAGUGAUGAAGGUCUUCGGAUCGUAAAACUCUGUUAUUAGGGAAGAACAUAUGUGUAAGUAACUGUGCACAUCUUGACGGUACCUAAUCAGAAAGCCACGGCUAACUACGUG
This 497-nucleotide ribosomal RNA is filed under the name uncultured bacterium. Its description in RNAcentral is "partial 16S ribosomal RNA". It matches the Rfam family "Bacterial small subunit ribosomal RNA", at positions 28 to 507 of the family's 1533-position model. The record is from RNAcentral.